Molecule: ribosomal RNA, 899 nt
Filed under: Sclerophomella vodakii
Lineage: Eukaryota; Fungi; Ascomycota; Dothideomycetes; Pleosporales; Didymellaceae
Description: LSU rRNA
Rfam family: Eukaryotic large subunit ribosomal RNA
Source: RNAcentral
CUAAGCGGAGGAAAAGAAACCAACAGGGAUUGCCCUAGUAACGGCGAGUGAAGCGGCAACAGCUCAAAUUUGAAAUCUGGCGUCUUUGGCGUCCCGAGUUGUAAUUUGCAGAGGGCGCUUUGGCAUUGGCAGCGGUCCAAGUUCCUUGGAACAGGACGUCACAGAGGGUGAGAAUCCCGUACGUGGUCGCUAGCCUUUACCGUGUAAAGCCCCUUCGACGAGUCGAGUUGUUUGGGAAUGCAGCUCUAAAUGGGAGGUAAAUUUCUUCUAAAGCUAAAUACUGGCCAGAGACCGAUAGCGCACAAGUAGAGUGAUCGAAAGAUGAAAAGCACUUUGGAAAGAGAGUUAAAAAGCACGUGAAAUUGUUGAAAGGGAAGCGCUUGCAGCCAGACUUGCCUGUAGUUGCUCAUCCGGGUUUCUACCCGGUGCACUCUUCUAUAGGCAGGCCAGCAUCAGUUUGGGCGGUUGGAUAAAGAUCUCUGUCAUGUACCUCUCUUCGGGGAGAACUUAUAGGGGAGAUGACAUGCAACCAGCCCGGACUGAGGUCCGCGCAUCUGCUAGGAUGCUGGCGUAAUGGCUGUAAGCGGCCCGUCUUGAAACACGGACCAAGGAGUCUAACAUCUAUGCGAGUGUUUGGGUGUCAAGCCCGAGCGCGUAAUGAAAGUGAACGGAGGUGGGAGCCUUUCGGGGUGCACCAUCGACCGAUCCUGAUGUCUUCGGAUGGAUUUGAGUAAGAGCAUAGCUGUUGGGACCCGAAAGAUGGUGAACUAUGCUUGAAUAGGGUGAAGCCAGAGGAAACUCUGGUGGAGGCUCGCAGCGGUUCUGACGUGCAAAUCGAUCGUCAAAUUUGGGCAUAGGGGCGAAAGACUAAUCGAACUAUCUAGUAGCUGGUUCCUGCG